AUGGCCGGCGUCGUGGUGGUGUUCGACUUCGACAAGGCCAUCAUCGACGUCGACAGCGACAACUGGGUCGUCGACGGCCUCGGCGCCACGGAGCUCUUCGACAGCCUGCUGCCCACCAUGCCGUGGAACACCCUCAUCGACACCGUCAUGGGGGAGCUGCACGCGCAGGGCAGGACCCUCCGCGACGUCGCCGACGUGCUCCGGGCCGCGCCCAUCGACCCGCACGUCGUCGCCACCAUCCGGGCCGCCCACAGCCUCGGCUGCGACCUCAGGGUCCUCAGCGACGCCAACCGCUUCUUCAUCGAGACCGUCCUCGACCACCACGGCCUCCGGGGCUGCUUCUCCGAGAUCAACACCAACCCCAGCCGCGGCCAGGUGCUCGACCGCAUCCGCGCCUCCGCCGCGGUGGACGGCGCCAGGAAGCGCUUCAUCUACCUCGGCGACGGCCGCGGCGACUUCUGCCCGUCGCUGCGGCUCGCCAGGGACGACUUCAUGAUGCCGCGCAAGGGCUUCCCCGUGUGGGACCUCAUGUGCGAGAACCCUGGCCUGCUCCAGGCGGAGGUGCACCCGUGGAGCGACGGCAAGGACAUGGAGGAGACGCUGCUGCGGCUCAUCAGCCGGGUGCUCGUCGAGGAGAGCCAGCUGCUGCCGCUCGACUGCAAGCUCGAGUCGCUGCCGGUGGCCGUCCAGGACGGCAUGCCCAUGCCGCUCGUCGUCAAGAACUGA
RNAcentral lists this ribosomal RNA (726 nucleotides) under Triticum aestivum (bread wheat). RNAcentral's name for it is "partial small subunit ribosomal RNA". The record is from RNAcentral. Lineage: Eukaryota; Viridiplantae; Streptophyta; Magnoliopsida; Poales; Poaceae.